Molecule: ribosomal RNA, 482 nt
Filed under: uncultured bacterium
Lineage: Bacteria
Description: partial 16S ribosomal RNA
Rfam family: Bacterial small subunit ribosomal RNA
Source: RNAcentral
AUUGAACGCUGGCGGCAUGCUUUACACAUGCAAGUCGAACGGUAACAGGCCGCAAGGUGCUGACGAGUGGCGAACGGGUGAGUAAUGCAUCGGAACGUGCCCAGUCGUGGGGGAUAACUACUCGAAAGAGUAGCUAAUACCGCAUACGAUCUAUGGAUGAAAGCGGGGGACCGUAAGGCCUCGCGCGAUUGGAGCGGCCGAUGUCAGAUUAGGUAGUUGGUGGGGUAAAGGCUCACCAAGCCAACGAUCUGUAGCUGGUCUGAGAGGACAACCAGCCACACUGGGACUGAGACACGGCCCAGACUCCUACGGGAGGCAGCAGUGGGGAAUUUUGGACAAUGGGCGCAAGCCUGAUCCAGCAAUACCGCGUGCAGGAAGAAGGCCUUCGGGUUGUAAACUGCUUCUGUACGGAACGAAACGGCUCUGGUUAAUACCCGGGGCUAAUGACGGUACCGUAAGAAUAAGCACCGGCUAACUACGUG